This 666-nucleotide ribosomal RNA is filed under the name Bhargavaea cecembensis. RNAcentral's name for it is "bacterial SSU rRNA". It matches the Rfam family "Bacterial small subunit ribosomal RNA", at positions 70 to 722 of the family's 1533-position model. The record is from RNAcentral. Lineage: Bacteria; Bacillati; Bacillota; Bacilli; Caryophanales; Caryophanaceae.
GACGGGGAGCUUGCUCCCCUGAUUCAGCGGCGGACGGGUGAGUAACACGUGGGCAACCUGCCUGUAAGAUCGGGAUAACUCCGGGAAACCGGGGCUAAUACCGGAUGGUUCCUUCCUCCGCAUGGAGGAAGGCGGAAAGACGGUUUCGGCUGUCACUUACAGAUGGGCCCGCGGCGCAUUAGCUAGUUGGUGGGGUAAUGGCCCACCAAGGCAACGAUGCGUAGCCGACCUGAGAGGGUGAUCGGCCACACUGGGACUGAGACACGGCCCAGACUCCUACGGGAGGCAGCAGUAGGGAAUCUUCCGCAAUGGACGAAAGUCUGACGGAACAACGCCGCGUGAGCGAAGAAGGCCUUCGGGUCGUAAAGCUCUGUUGUAAGGGAAGAACAAGCGCCGGUUAACUGCCGGCGCCCUGACGGUACCUUACCAGAAAGCCACGGCUAACUACGUGCCAGCAGCCGCGGUAAUACGUAGGUGGCAAGCGUUGUCCGGAAUCAUUGGGCGUAAAGCGCGCGCAGGCGGUUUCUUAAGUCUGAUGUGAAAGCCCACGGCUCAACCGUGGAGGGUCAUUGGAAACUGGGAGACUUGAGUGCAGAAGAGGAGAGCGGAAUUCCACGUGUAGCGGUGAAAUGCGUAGAGAUGUGGAGGAACACCAGUGGCGAAGGC